GAUGAACGCUGGCGGCGUGCCUAAUACAUGCAAGUCGAACGCAUUGUGGUUGAAAUGAUAUGAAGAACUUGUUCAGAUUUGAUUUUCAACAUUGCAAUGAGUGGCGAACGGGUGAGUAACACGUGGGAAACCUACCUCUUAGCAGGGGAUAACAUUUGGAAACAAAUGCUAAUACCGUAUAAAUAAUUAAAACCGCAUGGUUUUAGUUUAAAAGAUGGUCUUGCUAUCACUAAGAGAUGGUCCCGCGGUGUAUUAGUUAGUUGGUGAGGUAAUGGCUCACCAAGACAAUGAUACAUAGCCGAGUUGAGAGACUGACCGGCCACAAUGGGACUGAGACACGGCCCAUACUCCUACGGGAGGCAGCAGUAGGGAAUCUUCCACAAUGGACGAAAGUACUGAUGGAGCAACGCCGCGUGUGUGAUGAAGGGUUUCGGCUCGUAAAACACUGUUGUAAGAGAAGAAUGACAUUGAGAGUAACUGUUCAAUGUGUGACGGUAUCUUA
RNAcentral lists this ribosomal RNA (502 nucleotides) under uncultured bacterium. RNAcentral describes it as "bacterial SSU rRNA". It matches the Rfam family "Bacterial small subunit ribosomal RNA", at positions 28 to 482 of the family's 1533-position model. The record is from RNAcentral.